This 628-nucleotide ribosomal RNA is filed under the name Fusarium sp. CBS 110145. Its description in RNAcentral is "eukaryotic LSU rRNA". It matches the Rfam family "Eukaryotic large subunit ribosomal RNA", at positions 1 to 651 of the family's 3401-position model. Lineage: Eukaryota; Fungi; Ascomycota; Sordariomycetes; Hypocreales; Nectriaceae. The record is from RNAcentral.
UUGACCUCGGAUCAGGUAGGAAUACCCGCUGAACUUAAGCAUAUCAAUAAGCGGAGGAAAAGAAACCAACAGGGAUUGCCCUAGUAACGGCGAGUGAAGCGGCAACAGCUCAAAUUUGAAAUCUGGCUCUCGGGCCCGAGUUGUAAUUUGUAGAGGAUGCUUUUGGCAAGGUGCCUUCCGAGUUCCCUGGAACGGGACGCCAUAGAGGGUGAGAGCCCCGUCUGGUUGGACACCGAGCCUCUGUAAAGCUCCUUCGACGAGUCGAGUAGUUUGGGAAUGCUGCUCUAAAUGGGAGGUAUAUGUCUUCUAAAGCUAAAUACUGGCCAGAGACCGAUAGCGCACAAGUAGAGUGAUCGAAAGAUGAAAAGCACUUUGAAAAGAGAGUUAAAAAGCACGUGAAAUUGUUGAAAGGGAAGCGCUUAUGACCAGACUUGGGCUUGGUUGAUCAUCCGGCGUUCUCGCCGGUGCACUCUUCCAGUUCAGGCCAGCAUCAGUUUGCCCCGGGGGAUAAAAGCUUCGGGAAUGUGGCUCCUCCGGGAGUGUUAUAGCCCGUUGCAUAAUACCCUGGGGCAGACUGAGGACCGCGCUUCGUGCAAGGAUGGCUGGCGUAAUGGUCAUCAGCGACCCG